UUAUGACCAUAUCUCGUUGAAACACCAGUUUCCAUACGAUCAUUGACGUUAAGCAGCAUCAAGCCUGGUUAGUACCUAGACGGGUGACCACUUGGGAGUACCAGGUGCUAU
This is a non-coding RNA of Acanthosepion pharaonis, 111 nucleotides long. Lineage: Eukaryota; Metazoa; Mollusca; Cephalopoda; Sepiida; Sepiidae. The record is from the annotation of a GenBank genome assembly.